This 1005-nucleotide long non-coding RNA is filed under the name Equus caballus (horse). Its description in RNAcentral is "lncRNA (ENSECAG00000043914.1)". Lineage: Eukaryota; Metazoa; Chordata; Mammalia; Perissodactyla; Equidae. The record is from RNAcentral.
AUUUAAUAUAAGAUAAAUGUGGUACCACAGAAAAUGGAAAAGGAUGCCUUGUUUGGUAUAUGGUCUUAGGAAAACUGGCUCAUCUCCUGGAGAAAAAGCUGGACUUUUGGCUUACACCAUACAAAGAUGAACUCUAGAUGGAUUAAAAACCUAAAGGAGAAAGGUAAAAAUACAGAGCUGGGGGGCCGGCCCCAUGGCCAAGUGGUUAAGUUCAUGCGCUCCGCUUCUGCAGUCCAGGGUUUCGCUGGUUCGGAUCCUGGGCAUGGACAUGGCACCGCUCAUCAGGCCGUGCUGAAGGCAGCGCCCCACAUAGCACGACAAGAAGGACCCAAAACUAAAAAUACACAAGAAAAUCUUAAAUUGGACUUAAGUAUCCUUUUAAAAUCCUUCCAUGACGCUGUCAGCGAGCACUGGCAAGAUCACUAAAAUCACCAUCUUCUGUUUCUUUCAGCAGUUCCAUAAGUUGGCCACGAUUCCUAGCAUUUGUACCUAAACACCAAAUAACUGUUAAACAACUCUACUCCUCACGCUUCUCAUAGGGUCUGCCUAGAAGGCUGAGCACAAAUAUUUUCAAUAUAUCAUACUUUGGAACGAAGCAGUAAGGGAACCAGCAGUCCCUUGUUUUAAAUUUCUGAUAAAUCUGAAUUUUUGUUCUAAUAGAGAUGGACCACGAUGUGUCAUAUUAGAAACACAUUUUUUUUUAAAAGAUUGGCCCCUGAACUAACAACUGUUACCAAUCUUCUCUUUUUUUUUCUUUUUUUUCUGCUUUUUCUUCCCAAACCCCUCCUAGUACAUAGCUGCAUAUUUUUAGUUGUGGAUCCUUUUAGUUGUGGCAUGUGGGACACUGCCUCAGCGUGGCCUGACGAGCGGUGCCAUGUCUGUGCCCAGGAUCCAAACCAGCGAAACCCGGGGCCGCCAAAGUGGAGCACGCAAACUUAACCACUCGGCCACACAGCCAGCCCCCUAGUCUCUUUUUUUAAAGUGUCCAGUUGUACUAGUUUCUGU